Molecule: long non-coding RNA, 405 nt
Organism: Eupeodes corollae
Lineage: Eukaryota; Metazoa; Arthropoda; Insecta; Diptera; Syrphidae
Exons: 3
Source: RefSeq, a predicted model, not a curated record
CAUUUUUCUGUUCGACUGCUGGUGUUGAGUGUAAAUUCCCGGGUAAAAAUGUAAAAGUAGUGAGUAAUAAGAAACAGCUAGAAAGUCUAGUUUCCAUAAUGGAAGCAAGAUAUUGCGAAGGGAAUUUGCGGAAAAGCCCAAGCGAAGAAAAGAUGGGAUAGAUUUACAACGGAACUUAAUAGUCUCGGGCUUCCUGUACGUACUUGCGAUAAAUGGAUCAAGAUCCGCCGGGGAUUGUGUUUGGGCAGGAGGAAAUCCAAAACGUGGAAACAAAUUUUACGCAUGUUGAGGAAGACCCAGCCCCGAUAAAACUUGCUCCUAUUAAAACUUGUUUAAAAAAAACAGGAGAGGACGAGAGGCUUUCAAUUCUGAAGAACCAAACAAAUAUGUAGGAGGACUUUUAUA